This 1319-nucleotide ribosomal RNA is filed under the name uncultured Alphaproteobacteria bacterium. Its description in RNAcentral is "bacterial SSU rRNA". It matches the Rfam family "Bacterial small subunit ribosomal RNA", at positions 27 to 1393 of the family's 1533-position model. The record is from RNAcentral. Lineage: Bacteria; Pseudomonadati; Pseudomonadota; Alphaproteobacteria.
GAACGUACGCUGGCGGCACGCCUAACACAUGCAAGUCGAACGAAGUAGCAAUACUUAGUGGCAGACGGGUGAGUAACAUGUAGGUAUCUGCCCUUUGGCCUGGAAUAACACGAGGAAACUUGUGCUAAUACCGGAUAAGUCUUUACGGAGAAAGCUUUAUGCACCAUUGGAUGAGCCUGCACUUGAUUAGUUUGUUGGUGGGGUAAUGGCCUACCAAGACUGUGAUCAAUAGCUGAUUUGAGAGGAUGAUCAGCCACAUUGGGACUGAGACACGGCCCAAACUCCUACGGGAGGCAGCAGUGGGGAAUCUUGCACAAUGGAGGAAACUCUGAUGCAGCGAUGCCGCGUGAGUGAAGAAGGCCCUUGGGUUGUAAAGCUCUUUCGUCGGGGAAGAAAAUGACUGUACCCGAAUAAGAAGGUCCGGCUAACUUCGUGCCAGCAGCCGCGGUAAUACGAAGGGACCUAGCGUAGUUCGGAAUUACUGGGCUUAAAGAGUUCGUAGGUGGUUGAAAAAGUUAGUGGUGAAAUCCCAGAGCUUAACUCUGGAACUGCCAUUAAAACUUUUUAGCUAGAGUAUGAUAGAGGAAAGCAGAAUUUCUAGUGUAGAGGUGAAAUUCGUAGAUAUUAGAAAGAAUACCAAUUGCGAAGGCAGCUUUCUGGAUCAUUACUGACACUGAGGAACGAAAGCAUGGGUAGCGAAGAGGAUUAGAUACCCUCGUAGUCCAUGCCGUAAACGAUGUGUGUUAGACGUUGGAAAUUUAUUUUCAGUGUCGCAGGGAAACCGAUAAACACACCGCCUGGGGAGUACGACCGCAAGGUUAAAACUCAAAUGAAUUGACGGGGACCCGCACAAGUAGUGGAGCAUGUGGUUUAAUUCGAAGAUACGCGCAGAACCUUACCAACACUUGACAUGUUCGUCGCGACUCUAAGAGAUUAGAGUUUUCGGUUCGGCCGGACGAAACACAGGUGCUGCAUGGCUGUCGUCAGCUCGUGUCGUGAGAUGUUGGGUUAAGUCCCGCAACGAGCGCAACCCUCACUUUUAGUUGCCAUCAUUAAGUUGGGCACUCUGAAAGAACUGCCAGUGAUAAGCUGGAGGAAGGUGGGGAUGACGUCAAGUCCUCAUGGCCCUUACGUGUUGGGCUACACACGUGCUACAAUGGUAUCUACAACAGGAAGCAAGACUGCGAAGUUAAGCAAAUCCCUAAAAGAUACCUCAGUUCGGAUUGCACUCUGCAACUCGAGUGCAUGAAGCUGGAAUUACUAGUAAUCGUGGAUCAGCGUGCCACGGUGAAUGCGUUCCCGGGUCUUGUACACACCGC